This 487-nucleotide ribosomal RNA is filed under the name uncultured bacterium. RNAcentral's name for it is "bacterial SSU rRNA". It matches the Rfam family "Bacterial small subunit ribosomal RNA", at positions 28 to 511 of the family's 1533-position model. The record is from RNAcentral.
GAUGAACGCUGGCGGCGUGCUUAACACAUGCAAGUCGAACGAAGCAUUUAAGACAGAUUACUUCGGUUUGAAGUCUUUUAUGACUGAGUGGCGGACGGGUGAGUAACGCGUGGGUAACCUGCCUCAUACAGGGGGAUAGCAGCUGGAAACGGCUGGUAAUACCGCAUAAGCGCACGGUAUCGCAUGAUACAGUGUGAAAAACUCCGGUGGUAUGAGAUGGACCCGCGUCUGAUUAGCUGGUUGGUGAGGUAACGGCCCACCAAGGCGACGAUCAGUAGCCGACCUGAGAGGGUGACCGGCACAUUGGGACUGAGACACGGCCCAGACUCCUACGGGAGGCAGCAGUGGGGAAUAUUGCACAAUGGAGGAAAACUCUGAUGCAGCGACGCCGCGUCGAGCGAAGAAGUAUUUCGGUAUGUAAAGCGUCUGUCAGCAGGGAAGAUAAUGACGGUACCUGACCAAGAAGCCCCGGCUAACUACGUGCCAG